Molecule: ribosomal RNA, 252 nt
Filed under: uncultured bacterium
Lineage: Bacteria
Description: partial 16S ribosomal RNA
Rfam family: Bacterial small subunit ribosomal RNA
Source: RNAcentral
UACGAAGGGGCUAGCGUUGUUCGGAAUUACUGGGCGUAAAGCGCGCGCAGGCGGUCUUCCAAGUCAGUGGUGAAAGCCCGGAGCUCAACUCCGGAACUGCCAUUGAAACUGUUGAACUUGAGGACGAGAGAGGUGAGUGGAAUUCCCAGUGUAGAGGUGAAAUUCGUAGAUAUUGGGAAGAACACCAGUGGCGAAGGCGGCUCACUGGCUCGUUUCUGACGCUCAGGCGCGAUAGCGUGGGGAUCAAACAGG